This 425-nucleotide ribosomal RNA is filed under the name uncultured bacterium. RNAcentral's name for it is "partial 16S ribosomal RNA". It matches the Rfam family "Bacterial small subunit ribosomal RNA", at positions 354 to 796 of the family's 1533-position model. The record is from RNAcentral.
GUGGGGAAUCUUAGACAAUGGGCGCAAGCCUGAUCUAGCCAUGCCGCGUGAGCGAUGAAGGCCUUAGGGUUGUAAAGCUCUUUCGUCGGGGAAGAUAAUGACUGUACCCCAAGAAGAAGCCCCGGCUAACUCCGUGCCAGCAGCCGCGGUAAUACGGAGGGGGCUAGCGUUGUUCGGAAUUACUGGGCGUAAAGCGCACGUAGGCGGACUGGAAAGUCAGGGGUGAAAUCCCGGGGCUCAACCCCGGAACUGCCUUUGAAACUCCCAGUCUUGAGUUCGAGAGAGGUGAGUGGAAUUCCGAGUGUAGAGGUGAAAUUCGUAGAUAUUCGGAGGAACACCAGUGGCGAAGGCGGCUCACUGGCUCGAUACUGACGCUGAGGUGCGAAAGCGUGGGGAGCAAACAGGAUUAGAAACCCGGGUAGUCC